AGAGUUUGAUCCUGGCUCAGGGUUAACGCUGGCGGCGUGCCUAACACAUGCAAGUCGAGCGAGGGCUAGUCUUCCGCAAGGGGGGCUGGUACCUAGCGGCAAACGGGUGAGUAACACGUGGGCAACCUGUCCUCUUGUGGGGGAUAACACCGAGAAAUCGGUGCUAAUACCGCAUGAAAUCGCUGGAGGCAUCUUUGGCG
This 200-nucleotide ribosomal RNA is filed under the name uncultured bacterium. RNAcentral's name for it is "partial 16S ribosomal RNA". It matches the Rfam family "Bacterial small subunit ribosomal RNA", at positions 8 to 199 of the family's 1533-position model. The record is from RNAcentral.